GAUGAACGCUGGCGGCGUGCCUAAUACAUGCAAGUCGAGCGAACAGACGAGGAGCUUGCUCCUCUGACGUUAGCGGCGGACGGGUGAGUAACACGUGGAUAACCUACCUAUAAGACUGGGAUAACUUCGGGAAACCGGAGCUAAUACCGGAUAAUAUAUUGAACCGCAUGGUUCAAUAGUUAAAGACGGUUUUGCUGUCACUUUUAGAUGGUUCCGCGCCGCAUUAGCUAGUUGGUAAGGUAACGGCUUACCAAGGCAACGAUGCGUAGCCGACCUGAGAGGGUGAUCGGCCACACUGGAACUGAGACACGGUCCAGACUCCUACGGGAGGCAGCAGUAGGGAAUCUUCCGCAAUGGGCGAAAGCCUGACGGAGCAACGCCGCGUGAGUGAUGAAGGUCUUCGGAUCGUAAAACUCUGUUAUUAGGGAAGAAAAAAUGUGUAAGUAACUAUGCACGUCUUGACGGUACCUAAUCAGAAAGCCACGGCUAACUACGUG
Molecule: ribosomal RNA, 497 nt
Filed under: uncultured bacterium
Lineage: Bacteria
Description: partial 16S ribosomal RNA
Rfam family: Bacterial small subunit ribosomal RNA
Source: RNAcentral